RNAcentral lists this ribosomal RNA (253 nucleotides) under uncultured bacterium. RNAcentral's name for it is "partial 16S ribosomal RNA". It matches the Rfam family "Bacterial small subunit ribosomal RNA", at positions 524 to 776 of the family's 1533-position model. The record is from RNAcentral.
UACAGAGGGUGCAAGCGUUAAUCGGAGUUACUGGGCGUAAAGGGCGCGUAGGCGGUGAUAUAAGUGAGAUGAGAAAUCCCUGGGCUUAACCUAGGAACGUUGUUUCAUACUGUAUGACUAGAGUAUUGUAGAGGGUAGUGGAAUUUCCGGUGUAGCGGUGAAAUGCGUAGAGAUCGGAAGGAACACCAGUGGCGAAGGCGGCUACCUGGACAAAUACUGACGCUGAGGCGCGAAAGCGUGGGGAGCAAACAGG